Molecule: ribosomal RNA, 373 nt
Filed under: uncultured organism
Description: partial 16S ribosomal RNA
Rfam family: Bacterial small subunit ribosomal RNA
Source: RNAcentral
GUAGGUGGCAAGCGUUGUUCGGAAUUAUUGGGCGUAAAGCGCGCGCAGGCGGUUCUUUAAGUCUGAUGUGAAAGCCCACGGCUCAACCGUGGAGGGUCAUUGGAAACUGGAGAACUUGAGUACAGAAGAGGAAAGCGGAAUUCCACGUGUAGCGGUGAAAUGCGUAGAGAUGUGGAGGAACACCAGUGGCGAAGGCGGCUUUCUGGUCUGUAACUGACGCUGAGGCGCGAAAGCGUGGGGAGCAAACAGGGAUUAGAUACCCUGGUAGUCCACGCCGUAAACGAUGAGUGCUAAGUGUUAGGGGGGUUUCCGCCCCCUUAGUGCUGCAGCUAACGCAUUAAGCACUCCGCCUGGGGAUACGGCCGCAAGGCUG